Molecule: unclassified non-coding RNA, 327 nt
Filed under: Tephroseris helenitis
Lineage: Eukaryota; Viridiplantae; Streptophyta; Magnoliopsida; Asterales; Asteraceae
Description: partial external transcribed spacer
Source: RNAcentral
CCUGGCUUACCUCCUCAGUUAUGCGUCAAGGCUUGUAUCGCCUAGAGCGUAUUGUUGGUUUUCUGUAUUGGAUACCUAAUCGAAGGGUAUUAUUUUGAUCGAUCGGAGUCCCUUUUCGUCUUGUUGCAUUUUGUGUCGCAUGAUGAACGUUGAAGCGGUCUCUAUGAUCCAUCACGUUGAUGCACUUGCAUUGAUGUUGUGGCCCAUUGAGCUUUGUUUGGUUUCUUGGAUAUGGAACAUGAAGUGGGCAUGGGGCUGUCAUGAUCCUCUUUUUGCCCUCGUAUGGUGUUCUCGAACGACGGGUCAUGCGCGCCYAGGCUCGUACCU